RNAcentral lists this unclassified non-coding RNA (253 nucleotides) under Capnodiales sp. Its description in RNAcentral is "partial contains 5.8S ribosomal RNA, internal transcribed spacer 2, and large subunit ribosomal RNA". Lineage: Eukaryota; Fungi; Ascomycota; Dothideomycetes; Capnodiales. The record is from RNAcentral.
CGCACAUUGCGCCCUCUGGCAUUCCGGGGGGCAUGCCCGUUCGAGCGUCAUUAAAUCCAAUCAAGCCUGGCUUGGUAUUGGGCGUCGGGACCUCCCCGCGCCCGAAUUUCACCGGCUGGCCGUCGCCCGUCUUAGCGUUGUGAUACACUCUCGCUACAGGCCAAAGCGGACACGCCGUCAAAACACAACGAAUUUCAAUCGAAAUUUGAUUAAGGUUGACCUCGGAUCGGGUAGGAAUACCCGCUGAACUUAA